Small nuclear RNA from Suricata suricatta (meerkat), 108 nucleotides. NCBI's taxonomy places the organism in Eukaryota, Metazoa, Chordata, Mammalia, Carnivora, Herpestidae. The record is from Ensembl.
GUACUCACUUCAGCAGCACAUAUUACUAAAAUUGGAAUGAUACAGAAAAGAUUAGCAUGGCCCCUAUGCAAGGAUGACAUGCAAAUCAUCUAUCUGAUAAGGGGUUAU